CCUGGGGUUGAAAUCCCAGGCUAUUCUCUGUCGUCCCUAAAGGGACU
This 47-nucleotide small RNA is filed under the name Candidatus Magnetoglobus multicellularis str. Araruama. RNAcentral's name for it is "Acido-Lenti-1 RNA". It matches the Rfam family "Acido-Lenti-1 RNA". Lineage: Bacteria; Pseudomonadati; Thermodesulfobacteriota; Desulfobacteria; Desulfobacterales; Desulfobacteraceae. The record is from Rfam by way of RNAcentral.